CUAGUACUCCCUCCGUUUCAAAUUACUCGUCGCAGAAAUGGAUGUAUCUAGAACUAAAAUACAUAUAGAUACAUUCAUACAUUCGACAAGUAAUUUGAAACGAAGGAAGUAUAUC
Non-coding RNA from Triticum aestivum (bread wheat), 115 nucleotides. The record is from Rfam. Lineage: Eukaryota; Viridiplantae; Streptophyta; Magnoliopsida; Poales; Poaceae.